Astatotilapia calliptera (eastern happy) is the source of this 401-nucleotide long non-coding RNA. NCBI's taxonomy places the organism in Eukaryota, Metazoa, Chordata, Actinopteri, Cichliformes, Cichlidae. The record is from Ensembl.
UGGACCCAGAAGCAGAUACAGGCCGAGGCCCAGUGCUAGAUUUUCUAACAGAGCUUUAUUUACAAAUGCUUGGGAACUGUGAACAUGAAGCCAGAGUGAGAUUCAGUGAGGGGGUCGUGGUUCGACAAGCGAGAAUCGGAGUCACGGCAACAGAGGGAGAGAUGUGUCAGCACGGCCCUGACAGGAAAGAGAGUGGACGAGUGAAUCUUUGGAGGCUCACUUUUCUGCAGGCGGAGAAUUUGGAGCGGUCUGGAUUUUGAAGGCCUGCAGUGAAAAAGCAACUGGGAGUCUGGUGGCAGGGUCCCCUCUGGUGCUUUCUAUCAAACAUCCACACACAAGCAGACCCUGAUCGGAGCCCAAGUAAUCUCUGGCUUGAAGAAUGAAGCAGCAAGGGAUUGAAC